This 253-nucleotide ribosomal RNA is filed under the name uncultured bacterium. RNAcentral's name for it is "partial 16S ribosomal RNA". It matches the Rfam family "Bacterial small subunit ribosomal RNA", at positions 524 to 776 of the family's 1533-position model. The record is from RNAcentral.
UACGAAGGGGGCUAGCGUUGCUCGGAAUCACUGGGCGUAAAGGGUGCGUAGGCGGGUCUUUAAGUCAGGUGUGAAAGCCCCGGGCUCAACCUGGGAAUUGCAUUUGAGACUGAAUAGCUAGGGUGCGGAAGAGGGAAGCGGAAUUUCCGGUGUAGCGGUGAAAUGCGUAGAUAUCGGAAGGAACACCAGUGGCGAAAGCGGCUUCCUGGUCCAGCACCGACGUUCAGGCACGAAAGCGUGGGGAGCAAACAGG